Molecule: unclassified non-coding RNA, 1822 nt
Filed under: Centruroides sculpturatus (bark scorpion)
Lineage: Eukaryota; Metazoa; Arthropoda; Arachnida; Scorpiones; Buthidae
Description: uPF0602 protein C4orf47 homolog, transcript variant X1
Source: RNAcentral
UACGUAUAAUAAUUAUUAUAACAGUUACAGAAUCUGUUAGAAACGACUGAAAGUUAAUAGCCUGGAAGAUGGCGGAAGAAAAGAAAAAGAAGAAAAUUUUCAAAAAGACGAAUGCAGACAUAAGCGCUAUGAAAACUUUAGGAAUGUUUUCAGAACUUGGUUACAUUCACGAUGGCGGAUAUACACCGGUUCCAGCAGUCUUACGACAGUUCAAAGAUAAACAGAUGUUAGGCCCAGGUUCUAAAAUGAGAUGCGGGAAUCAAGAUGGUUACUUCACGAGAUACUUUCAAAGAAUAUUCGAUGAAGAAGCAUACACAGAUAUCGAGCGCAUCUGGCGUCUUGCAAGAAAGUCCCCAGAAAAAACACCUUUCUUUUAUCCUCCAGCCACUCCUAAAUGCCCAUCAGGAAAAGGUUCGCAUUAUGGGGCAUUUUCUGGCCCCAUCGAGUAUUUUAGUCCUCGAUUGAUAAAGAGAUCCAAGCGAGAAAAACAGAAACCAAACUUUUAUACCAGUCCGGGGAAAAAAGGAACCGGAUAUGGAUAUCCUGAUUUAGCCAUAAAUAAAACUCAAUACAAACAUCUUGAUGAUCCGUAUGAUGUCAGAUACUUAGUUAAUUGGAAUUUAGAUAAAGGGCCUUUCAUUGCUAUAUCUCCUAACGGGUAUUUUUGGAAAAAUCCUUAUAAAGAAGAUACCGAAAUGUCAAAAAAAAUUAAACCUCCUAAAAAAAUAGGAAAAAUGACAUAUUUACCAUUCCUUCCUACCGCUUGUGGAAAAAUGUUGGGAGGAAUGAAAGAUGGUUGUUUCAGCAAAUAUCCUAAACAUGACGGAGACCUGUUCAAAGAAUUGACUGCGAUGAAACGAUACAAAGAUUUCAGAAACAAAGAAAAUAAGAUAUUUAUCUAUCCAGAAGGACCGAAAUCGACAAGAACUGUUUCUAACGUUAAAUAUAAUGUCAGAUUGUAUGCUUUAAAGAAAAAACCUUAAACUACAAGAACGAAAUAUUGAUUACUACAGGAUUCUCGUUAAAGACAGAGUAAACCAUUCUCUAUAUCAAGACUUCAUUAUAUAUGUAAAGGAUGGAUCAACAUGGAUCAACAAAAGGAUCAUCAAUUGUUCACGAUGUCAAAAGGCCACUACUAAAGUACAUUUAAAACAUAUCUAAAUGGAAAAAGUCUUUUUUGUAGCACUUCUUCUAGAUAUGCUUAAAAUGAAAAAGUAUUACUAAAAGAGCGAUGGUAAAUAAAAAAAAUACUACUGUGAAUAGAAGAAACGUGUGAGUUAACCCCCAUUCCGUUGCCAGAAAUUCCAUGUUAAGAAUAAAUUCGAAAUAAGCUUAAAAAUCCAGAUAAAAGGGACUUAGGCAUAUACCUGAUGUGCUUACCCGUAUACAGAUGUAAAAUAAAUAAGACAAUGAUGGCAGUAUCAUAUAUACACAGAAAGAUGUGAAAAAUAUAUUUUAGAUAAUUGAUUAAAAGACCAGAAAAAAGAAGGGGUCAUGUUACCUAUUCCCUCAUCUUUAACAACACAAGCAAAGAACAAGACCGUCAACGGUAUCCAACCUAAGAAACUAAUAUAAGAAUACAUCAAGUAAAAGUUUUGUCUUCACCUGACAUAGUGCUGGAGGUCCAGGCAGUCCAGGAGAUCCCAUCAAUCCAGGAAGACCAAUAUCACCUUUCAAUCCUUUAUCUCCUUUUGGACCUGGUUGUCCCUAAUGAAAGUUAUAAAUUAUAAGAAAUUGUAAGAAAUUCACAGUAGAGCAAGCUGUUAAAAGAUGAAAAUGUAAAUUCAAGUAGUUAGUUCAGUUAGUCCAAGAAUCUGUUAGU